CCCUUAGAGUUUGAUCCUGGCUCAGGACGAACGCUGGCGGCGCGCCUAACACAUGCAAGUCGAACGAGAGAGAAGGAGCUUGCUUCUUCGAUCGAGUGGCGAACGGGUGAGUAACGCGUGAGGAACCUGCCUCAAAGAGGGGGACAACAGUUGGAAACGACUGCUAAUACCGCAUAAGCCCACGGGUCGGCAUCGACCUGAGGGAAAAGGAGUGAUCCGCUUUGAGAUGGCCUCGCGUCCGAUUAGCUAGUUGGUGAGGUAACGGCCCACCAAGGCGACGAUCGGUAGCCGGACUGAGAGGUUGAACGGCCACAUUGGGACUGAGACACGGCCCAGACUCCUACGGGAGGCAGCAGUGGGGAAUAUUGCACAAUGGGGGAAACCCUGAUGCAGCGACGCCGCGUGGAGGAAGAAGGUCUUAGGAUUGUAAAC
This 432-nucleotide ribosomal RNA is filed under the name uncultured bacterium. RNAcentral's name for it is "bacterial SSU rRNA". It matches the Rfam family "Bacterial small subunit ribosomal RNA", at positions 1 to 430 of the family's 1533-position model. The record is from RNAcentral.